CCCAUUCAAAAAUAUUGCGAUUUUUACUAUGAGAUUUAGUAAAUUUUACUAUGAGAUUAGUAAAUUUUACUAUGAGAUGUAAAAAACCUUCGAAACCUGGAGGUUGUACCACUUCAUUUGUCGUAUGUACAAAGUGUAGGAAAGUGAUAUUGAUAUAAAAAUGCAGUUUUUCAAAAACGUUUUUAUGUUCGCUAUGUGCUUGCUUGUUGGAGCUGUUUUGUUUGUUAAUGCUGUUCCUGGAGGUAGUAAUCCAGGAGUACAUCCAAUUCCACCACCAAAACCAAAACCACCUAAGCCACAUGGAAAAUGAGGAGAAAAAUAUCACGAAUAUCGAGUCGCACUGUUUCAGUUACUUUUCUUUUCUGUAUUAUCAUCAUACGCAUUAUACGCACCAUAGAUCAUUUUUAUGUCAACUGCACUUCAUUUUCAUCGUACAAUCUACGGAACAGUUAUAUUUAUGUAACUUUUAUUUUUAAAUAUUUUUAAUGUUCAGAAAAAUAAAUCGAAUUUAUUCGCUCAGAUUAAAAAAUAAAUAUGGUUUCAGACAUA
Planococcus citri (citrus mealybug) is the source of this 549-nucleotide long non-coding RNA. RefSeq lists it as uncharacterized. The transcript is spliced from 2 exons. Lineage: Eukaryota; Metazoa; Arthropoda; Insecta; Hemiptera; Pseudococcidae. The record is from RefSeq and is a predicted model, not a curated record.